Molecule: unclassified non-coding RNA, 188 nt
Filed under: fungal sp.
Lineage: Eukaryota; Fungi
Description: partial internal transcribed spacer region
Rfam family: Eukaryotic small subunit ribosomal RNA (bases 1-46)
Source: RNAcentral
AAGUCGUAACAAGGUUUCCGUAGGUGAACCUGCGGAAGGAUCAUUACAAACGAGAGCGUGAACAUGUUGAAAUGUCGUGUGGAGAGAGAGGAGGAUGCUUCACUCUCCCCGCACACUAAUAUCACAUUAGUCAUUGCUAAGAUAACCAACAACACAUACAACUUAUAACAAUGGAUCUCUAGGCUCUU